GCUUAACGCGAAGAACCUUACCAGGCCUUGACAUGCAGAGAACUUUCCAGAGAUGGAUUGGUGCCUUCGGGAACUCUGACACAGGUGCUGCAUGGCUGUCGUCAGCUCGUGUCGUGAGAUGUUGGGUUAAGUCCCGUAACGAGCGCAACCCUUGUCCUUAGUUACCAGCACGUUAUGGUGGGCACUCUAAGGAGACUGCCGGUGACAAACCGGAGGAAGGUGGGGAUGACGUCAAGUCAGUCAUGGCCCUUAGGCCUGGGCUACACACGUGCUACAAUGGUCGGUACAGGGGGUUGCCAAGCCGCGAGGUGGAGCUAAUCUCACAAAACCGAUCGUAGUCCGGAAUCGCAGUCUGCAACUCGACUGCGUGAAGUCGGAAUCGCUAGUAAUCGCGAAUCAGAAUGUCGCGGUGAAUACGUUCCC
Molecule: ribosomal RNA, 423 nt
Filed under: uncultured bacterium
Lineage: Bacteria
Description: bacterial SSU rRNA
Rfam family: Bacterial small subunit ribosomal RNA
Source: RNAcentral